UGGGGAAUAUUGCACAAUGGGCGCAAGCCUGAUGCAGCGACGCCGCGUGGGGGAUGACGGCCUUCGGGUUGUAAACCUCUUUCGCCAGGGACGAAGCGUAAGUGACGGUACCUGGAGAAGAAGCACCGGCCAACUACGUGCCAGCAGCCGCGGUAAUACGUAGGGUGCGAGCGUUGUCCGGAAUUACUGGGCGUAAAGAGCUCGUAGGCGGUUUGUCGCGUCGUCUGUGAAAUUCUGCAACUCAAUUGUAGGCGUGCAGGCGAUACGGGCAGACUUGAGUACUACAGGGGAGACUGGAAUUCCUGGUGUAGCGGUGAAAUGCGCAGAUAUCAGGAGGAACACCGGUGGCGAAGGCGGGUCUCUGGGUAGUAACUGACGCUGAGGAGCGAAAGCGUGGGUAGCGAACA
RNAcentral lists this ribosomal RNA (407 nucleotides) under uncultured prokaryote. RNAcentral describes it as "bacterial SSU rRNA". It matches the Rfam family "Bacterial small subunit ribosomal RNA", at positions 355 to 774 of the family's 1533-position model. The record is from RNAcentral.